Molecule: ribosomal RNA, 471 nt
Filed under: uncultured Pelotomaculum sp.
Lineage: Bacteria; Bacillati; Bacillota; Clostridia; Eubacteriales; Desulfotomaculaceae
Description: bacterial SSU rRNA
Rfam family: Bacterial small subunit ribosomal RNA
Source: RNAcentral
GACGGGGCCCGCACAAGCGGUGGAGCAUGUGGUUUAAUUCGACGCAACGCGAAGAACCUUACCAGGGCUUGACAUCCCCUGACCGCGUAUGAAAGUACGUUUUCACCCUCGGGUGACAGGGAGACAGGUGGUGCAUGGUUGUCGUCAGCUCGUGUCGUGAGAUGUUGGGUUAAGUCCCGCAACGAGCGCAACCCCUACGUUUAGUUGCUAACAGGUGAAGCUGAGCACUCUAGACGAACUGCCGUUGACAAAACGGAGAAGGUGGGGAUGACGUCAAAUCAUCAUGCCCCUUAUGUUCUGGGCUACACACGUGCUACAAUGGCCGGUACAGACGGAGGCGAAGCCGCGAGGCGGAGCAAAACCGAAAAAGCCGGUCUCAGUUCGGAUUGCAGGCUGCAAUUCGCCUGCAUGAAGUCGGAAUCGCUAGUAAUCGCAGGUCAGCAUACUGCGGUGAAUACGUUCCCGGGCCUU